This 253-nucleotide ribosomal RNA is filed under the name uncultured bacterium. Its description in RNAcentral is "partial 16S ribosomal RNA". It matches the Rfam family "Bacterial small subunit ribosomal RNA", at positions 524 to 776 of the family's 1533-position model. The record is from RNAcentral.
UACGUGGGGUGCGAGCGUUAAUCGGAAUUACUGGGCGUAAAGCGUGCGCAGGCGGUUUUGUAAGCCAGAUGUGAAAUCCCCGGGCUUAACCUGGGAAUGGCAUUUGGGACUGCAAGGCUUGAGUGCGGCAGAGGAGACUGGAAUUCCUGGUGUAGCGGUGAAAUGCGCAGAUAUCAGGAGGAACACCUAUUGCGAAGGCAGCUCGCUGGGACGUAACUGACGCUGAGACGCGAAAGCGUGGGGAGCAAACAGG